Molecule: ribosomal RNA, 1317 nt
Filed under: metagenome
Description: bacterial LSU rRNA
Rfam family: Bacterial large subunit ribosomal RNA
Source: RNAcentral
GGAUUGGGAGGGUUCUACGGAACCCGUUUGGUGAAUCUAGUGCCGAGAAAAGCCUUCUAUGUGUUGAAUUUCUAGUACCCGUACCCCAAACCGACACAGGUGGGUGGGUAGAGCAUACCUAGGGGCGCGUGAUAACUCUCUCUAAGGAACUCGGCAAAAUGGCCCUGUAACUUCGGGAUAAGGGGUGCCUGCGUGAGCAGGCCGCAGUGAAAUGGCUCUGGCGACUGUUUACCAAAAACACAGGUCUCUGCUAAGUCGUAAGACGAUGUAUAGGGGCUGACUCCUGCCCAGUGCCGGAAGGUUAAGGAAGUUGGUUAGCGCAAGCGAAGCUGGCGACCGAAGCCCCGGUGAACGGCGGCCGUAACAAUAACGGUCCUAAGGUAGCGAAAUUCCUUGUCGGGUAAGUUCCGACCCGCACGAAAGGAGUAACGAUCAGAGCGCUGUCUCGGAGAGAGACACGGCGAAAUAGGAUUGUCCGUGAAAAUACGGACUACCUGCACCCGGACAGAAAGACCCUAUGAAGCUUUACUGUAACUUGGAAUUGUGUUCGGACUUUGUCUGCGCAGAAUAGGUGGGAGGCUAUGAAACGUUCCUCGCGGGGAACUGGAGCCAUCGUUGAGAUACCACUCUGGCAGAGUCUGGAUUCUAACCUACGGGGACAGUUCCAGGUGGGCAGUUUGACUGGGGCGGUCGCCUCCUAAAAUAUAACGGAGGCGCGCAAUGUUCCCUCAGGCUGGUUGGAAAUCAGCCAUAGAGUGUAAAAGCAUAAGGGAGCUUGACUGUGAGACCUACAAGUCGAGCAGGGACGAAAGUCGGCUUUAGUGAUCCGACGGCACUGAGUGGAAGGGCCGUCGCUCAACGGAUAAAAGUUACUCUAGGAUAACAGGCUGAUCACCCCCAAGAGUUCACAUCGACGGGGAGGUUUGGCACCUCGAUGUCGGCUCGUCGCAACCUGGGGCGGUAGUACGUCCCAAGGGUUGGGCUGUUCGCCCAUUAAAGCGGCACGUGAGCUGGGUUCAGAACGUCGUGAGACAGUUCGGUCCAUAUCCGGUGUAGGCGUAGGAGCAUUGAAAGGAUCUCUCCUUAGUACGAGAGGACCGGGAGGGACGUACCUCUGGUGUACCUGUUAUCGUGCCAACGGUAAACGCAGGGUAGCCAUGUACGGAGUGGAUAACCGCUGAAAGCAUCUAAGUGGGAAGCCCACCUUAAGAUGAGUGCUCCCUUGAGGCCACGGGAAGACGACCCGUUUGAUAGGCGCUAGGUGGAAGUGCAGUAAUGCAUGCAGCCGAGGCGUACUAAUAGGCCGAUGGCUUGUCC